AUUGAACGCUGGCGGCAGGCCUAACACAUGCAAUUCGAGCGGAGCGGCGGACGGGUGAGUAAUGCCUCGGAAUCUGCCUGGUAGUGGGGGAUAACGUCCGGAAGCGGGCGCUAAUACCGCAUACUAUCAGAUGAGCUUAGGUCGGAUUAGCUAGUUGGUGGGGUAAAGGCCUACCAAGGCGACGAUCCAUAACUGGUCUGAGAGGAUGAUCAUUCACACUGGAACUGAGACACGGUCCCGAGUCCGACGGGAGGCAGCAGUGGGGAAUAUUGGACAAUUGGCGAAAGCCUGAUCCAGCCAUGCCGCGUGUGUGAAGAAGUUCUUCGGAUUGUAAUGCACUUUAAGUUGGGAGGCGGUACCAACAGAAUAAGCACCGGCUAACUCCGUGCCAGCCGCCGCUGUAAUUC
RNAcentral lists this ribosomal RNA (407 nucleotides) under uncultured bacterium. RNAcentral's name for it is "partial 16S ribosomal RNA". It matches the Rfam family "Bacterial small subunit ribosomal RNA", at positions 30 to 526 of the family's 1533-position model. The record is from RNAcentral.